RNAcentral lists this ribosomal RNA (518 nucleotides) under uncultured bacterium. Its description in RNAcentral is "bacterial SSU rRNA". It matches the Rfam family "Bacterial small subunit ribosomal RNA", at positions 1 to 520 of the family's 1533-position model. The record is from RNAcentral.
GGAUCCAGACUUUGAUUCUGGCUCAGGACGAACGCUGGCGGCGCGCCUAACACAUGCAAGUCGAGCGGGAAGCUUUUUAAGGAUUCUUCGGAUGAAUUAAAAAGUGGAGAGCGGCGGACGGGUGAGUAACGCGUGAGAAACCUGCCCUAUACAGGGGGAUAGCCAUUGGAAACGAUGAUUAAUACCCCAUAUGACCACAGUAUCGCAUGAUACAGCGGUGAAAACUUCCGGUGGUAUAGGAUGGUCUCGCGUCUGAUUAGCUAGUUGGUGGGGUAACGGCCUACCAAGGCGACGAUCAGUAGCCGGCCUGAGAGGGUGACCGGCCACACUGGAACUGAGACACGGUCCAGACUCCUACGGGAGGCAGCAGUGGGGAAUAUUGCACAAUGGGCGAAAGCCUGAUGCAGCGACNCCGCGUGAACGAUGAAGGCUUUCGAGUCGUAAAGUUCUGUUCUUGGGGAAGAUAACGACGGUACCCAAGGAGAAAGCACCGGCUAAAUACGUGCCAGCAGCCGCGG